Molecule: ribosomal RNA, 254 nt
Filed under: uncultured bacterium
Lineage: Bacteria
Description: partial 16S ribosomal RNA
Rfam family: Archaeal small subunit ribosomal RNA
Source: RNAcentral
UACCAGCACCCCGAGUGGUCGGGACGUUUUAUUGGGCCUAAAGCAUCCGUAGCCGGUUCUACAAGUCUUCCGUUAAAUCCAGCUGCUUAACAGAUGGGCUGCGGAAGAUACUAUGGAGCUAGGAGGCGGGAGAGGCAAGCGGUACUCGAUGGGUAGGGGUAAAAUCCGUUGAUCCAUUGAAGACCACCAGUGGCGAAGGCGGCUGCCAGAACGCGCUCGACGGUGAGGGAUGAAAGCUGGGGGGAGCAAACCGG